Molecule: ribosomal RNA, 424 nt
Filed under: uncultured bacterium
Lineage: Bacteria
Description: partial 16S ribosomal RNA
Rfam family: Bacterial small subunit ribosomal RNA
Source: RNAcentral
AAUAUUAGACAAUGGGCGAACGCCUGAUCCAGCCAGGCCGCGUGUGUGAAGAAGGUCAUCGGAUUGUCCAGCACUUCAAGUUGGGAGGAAGGGUUGUAGGUUACUACCCUGCAAUUUUGACGUUAGCAACAGAAUAAGCACCGGCUAACUUCGUGCCAGCAGCCGCGGUAAUACGAAGGGUGCAAGCGUUAAUCGGAAUUACUGGGAGUAAAGCGCGCGUAGGAGGUUCGUUAAGUUGGAAGUGAAAGCCCAGGGCUUAACCUGGGAAUUGCUUUCAAAACUGACGAGCUAGAGUACAGUAGAGGGUAGUGGAAUUUCCUGUGUAGCGGUGAAAUGCGUAGAUAUAGGAAGGAACAUCAGUGGCGAAGGCGACUACCUGGACUGAUACUGACACUGAGGUGCGAAAGCGUGGGGAGCAAACAGG